This 253-nucleotide ribosomal RNA is filed under the name uncultured bacterium. RNAcentral's name for it is "partial 16S ribosomal RNA". It matches the Rfam family "Bacterial small subunit ribosomal RNA", at positions 524 to 776 of the family's 1533-position model. The record is from RNAcentral.
UACGGAGGGUGCGAGCGUUGUCCGGAAUCACUGGGCGUAAAGGGCGCGUAGGCGGCCUGAUAAGUAGGGGGUGAAAUCCUGCGGCUUAACCGCAGGGCUGCCUUCUAAACUGUCAGGCUCGAGCACAGUAGAGGCAGGUGGAAUUCCCGGUGUAGCGGUGGAAUGCGUAGAGAUCGGGAAGAACAUCAGUGGCGAAGGCGGCUCUCUGGGACGGUACUGACGCUGAGACGCGAAAGCGUGGGGAGCGAACAGG